CGGCGUGCCUAAUACAUGCAAGUAGAACGCUGAAGGAGGAGCUUGCUUCUCCGGAUGAGUUGCGAACGGGUGAGUAACGCGUAGGUAACCUGCCUGGUAGCGGGGGAUAACUAUUGGAAACGAUAGCUAAUACCGCGUAACAGUAGAUAUUGCAUGAUAUCUGCUUGAAAGGUGCAAUUGCAUCACUACCAGAUGGACCUGCGUUGUAUUAGCUAGUUGGUGGGGUAACGGCUCACCAAGGCGACGAUACAUAGCCGACCUGAGAGGGUGAUCGGCCACACUGGGACUGAGACACGGCCCAGACUCCUACGGGAGGCAGCAGUAGGGAAUCUUCGGCAAUGGACGGAAGUCUGACCGAGCAACGCCGCGUGAGUGAAGAAGGUUUUCGGAUCGUAAAGCUCUGUUGUAAGAGAAGAACGAGUGUGAGAGUGGAAAGUUCACACUGUGACGGUAUCUUACCAGAAAGG
RNAcentral lists this ribosomal RNA (467 nucleotides) under unidentified oral bacterium RP55-27. RNAcentral describes it as "bacterial SSU rRNA". It matches the Rfam family "Bacterial small subunit ribosomal RNA", at positions 40 to 491 of the family's 1533-position model. The record is from RNAcentral.